This is a long non-coding RNA of Alosa sapidissima (American shad), 137 nucleotides long. RefSeq lists it as uncharacterized. Lineage: Eukaryota; Metazoa; Chordata; Actinopteri; Clupeiformes; Clupeidae. The transcript is spliced from 3 exons. The record is from RefSeq and is a predicted model, not a curated record.
UGCAGUUCACUUUCCUGGGACUGAAACCACAUGAUGAUUAUUUGCAGAAGGUCUCAGGAGAGAAAAUGUUCCAUUGACUUUCACACAUUCAACCUCAAGCUUUUAUCUCAUCAGGACCAUUGCUUGGGUGUGUGAGG